GACGAACGCUGGCGGCGUGCUUAACACAUGCAAGUCGAACGGUAAGGCCCUUCGGGGUACACGAGUGGCGAACGGGUGAGUAACACGUGGGUGAUCUGCCCUGCACUUCGGGAUAAGCCUGGGAAACUGGGUCUAAUACCGGAUAGGACCACUGCCUGCAUGGGUGGUGGUGGAAAGCUUUUGCGGUGUGGGAUGGGCCCGCGGCCUAUCAGCUUGUUGGUGGGGUGAUGGCCUACCAAGGCGACGACGGGUAGCCGGCCUGAGAGGGUGACCGGCCACACUGGGACUGAGGUACGGCCCAGACUCCUACGGGAGGCAGGAGUGGGGAAUAUUGCACAAUGGGCGCAAGCCUGAUGCAGCGACGCGGCGUGAGGGAUGACGGCCUUCGGGUUGUAAACCUCUUUCAGCACCGACGAAGCGCAAGUGACGGUAGGUGCAGAAGAAGGACCGGCCAACUACGUGCCAGCCGCCGCAGUAA
Molecule: ribosomal RNA, 478 nt
Filed under: uncultured bacterium
Lineage: Bacteria
Description: partial 16S ribosomal RNA
Rfam family: Bacterial small subunit ribosomal RNA
Source: RNAcentral